CGCUGCCAGGCAAGUGGCGCGCGGGGAUCCCGGUUUCCCAGCCCCCUUCCGGCAGGCAGCAGCCCGGGCGGGGGACACACUCCGUGAUCCCCUCCUGGCUGGAGGGGUCAGGCUUGGUGGACCCAGCAAGCAGCCUGAUGGAGAAGGUGGCACCAGACGCAGACCCCUACCGUCCAGGACCGCAAGCCCUCGCCGGCUCUGCGUGCUUUUAGGUUUUGUCUCCACCUCUGCACACCCACACUCGCCUCCUGGGCCGCGACAGCUUCCUUCUGUCAAUCAGGUGUGGACGGGAAGGUCUCGAAGUUUCCUCGCCUGAGUUGAAAGCUGGAGGUGGGGGCACCUCUGCCCGUUCCUAACUGCCCCGUUAUAAGGUCCCCCUCCCCACAAUUGGUUCUCACCUCGCCCUCGGAGCUCUUGGGAGAUCCCUCCGUCCCUCCUACUGUGCCCUCGGGCAGAUGAGUCUGGUCCCAGCUUCUGGACUGCCCACUGUCGGCCACUUGAGAGUUGGGGACGGUGGGGCAUUGUGACGCUCUCCAACCUUGGAACACGGUGGCAAAGUGGCCGAUCAAUAUAUGGGACAAGUGGGGGCGGGGGGGCGGACUCUAAGGUGGAAAAAACAAUACUACUUGGGAUUUAAGGAAGCAAUCUGGAUUCUGUCUCCCCUUGGUUCUUCGGAGCUUAGAGGUCUAACGGCGACAUUCCUCCUACAGUAAGGGCUCUUCUGGGUCCCUCGUUUCCAAAGGCAUGAAAGUUCUGACCUGAAAAUGGGGGCCGGGGAGGGUGAUGUCACAACCAUAUAACGCAGCUCCUUCAGCCGACUCCCACCCGCAAGAACUGAGACCUGACGGAUAAAAGCAGAGAGGAGUCAGAGUGAGCGCUGCGUUUGGGAAACUGCAUUCCAGGGCAGCAAGACUGGUGCCAAGACGGAGUCGUGGCAAAAGCAUCCGGAGGUCUUCCUUAAUAUAUGUCAGCAGUGGAGUGGUGUGCUUAAGGAGAGAGAGACUUGGAAAAAUACAGACCGAGAACAAGGCCAUGUGGAGAUAGAGGCAGAGACUGAAGUUGUACCACCAAAGGCAAAGAAUAUCAAGUAUUAUCAGUAACCACAGGAAGCUGGAAGAGGCCAGGAAAGGUUUUUCUUAGAGACCUUGGAAGGAGCCUGACCCUGGAACACCUUGAUUUUAGACUUCUGACCCUCAAAAUUGUGAAAGAAUAAAUUUCUGUUGUUUUAAGCAA
Molecule: long non-coding RNA, 1233 nt
Filed under: Homo sapiens (human)
Lineage: Eukaryota; Metazoa; Chordata; Mammalia; Primates; Hominidae
Description: HSALNT0367642
Source: RNAcentral